Molecule: ribosomal RNA, 253 nt
Filed under: uncultured bacterium
Lineage: Bacteria
Description: partial 16S ribosomal RNA
Rfam family: Bacterial small subunit ribosomal RNA
Source: RNAcentral
UACGUAGGGUGCGAGCGUUGUCCGGAAUUAUUGGGCGUAAAGGGCUCGUAGGCGGUUUGUCGCGUCGGGAGUGAAAACCUCGGGCUUAACUCGGGGCUUGCUUUCGAUACGGGCAGACUGGAGGUAUGCAGGGGAGAACGGAAUUCCUGGUGUAGCGGUGAAAUGCGCAGAUAUCAGGAGGAACACCGGGGGCGAAGGCGGUUCUCUGGGCAUGACCUGACGCUGAGGAGCGAAAGCGUGGGGAGCGAACAGG